AAAUUUAAAAAUAUUAAUAAGAAAAAUAAUCAUGUAAGUUUCUUUUAUUUUAUUUUUUGUGGAAAAAUAAAAAUGGAAUUUAGAAAAAUUCAAAACAAAACAAAAAAAAAAAAUAGAGAGAGAAAAAGUUGUGGCAUGAGUGAUGGGUGUGUAUGGGAGUGAGUGAGAGCUGUGAAAGGGAAGAGUCUCAGAGAGUGCAGAAGUUAUCAGAGUUUUGCAGACUCACUCAUUAUUUGAUCUCUG
This 243-nucleotide long non-coding RNA is filed under the name Capsella rubella. RNAcentral's name for it is "long non-coding RNA (CRUB_LNC003801)". Lineage: Eukaryota; Viridiplantae; Streptophyta; Magnoliopsida; Brassicales; Brassicaceae. The record is from RNAcentral.